Molecule: ribosomal RNA, 490 nt
Filed under: uncultured bacterium
Lineage: Bacteria
Description: partial 16S ribosomal RNA
Rfam family: Bacterial small subunit ribosomal RNA
Source: RNAcentral
AUUGAACGCUGGCGGCAGGCCUAACACAUGCAAGUCGAACGGUAACAGGAAGAAGCUUGCUUCUUUGCUGACGAGUGGCGGACGGGUGAGUAAUGUCUGGGAAACUGCCUGAUGGAGGGGGAUAACUACUGGAAACGGUAGCUAAUACCGCAUAACGUCGCAAGACCAAAGAGGGGGACCUUCGGGCCUCUUGCCAUCGGAUGUGCCCAGAUGGGAUUAGCUAGUAGGUGGGGUAACGGCUCACCUAGGCGACGAUCCCUAGCUGGUCUGAGAGGAUGACCAGCCACACUGGAACUGAGACACGGUCCAGACUCCUACGGGAGGCAGCAGUGGGGAAUAUUGCACAAUGGGCGCAAGCCUGAUGCAGCCAUGCCGCGUGUAUGAAGAAGGCCUUCGGGUUGUAAAGUACUUUCAGCGGGGAGGAAGGGAGUAAAGUUAAUACCGUUGCUCAUUGACGUUACCCGCAGAAGAAGCACCGGCUAACUCCGUG